GGUGCUUUUAGUUAAUUACACCCAUGGCUACUCAGACUCAGAGUUGGGCAGACACCUACAAGGGUAUGUCCUCUGAUAAUAUCAAGGGGUUGAUUUUGGCUCUUUCUUCGAGCAUCUUUAUCGGUGCUAGCUUCAUUGUCAAGAAGAAGGGAUUGAAAAAAGCUGGUGCCUCUGGCAUCAGGGCAGGAAGCGGAGGCUAUUCUUACUUAUAUGAACCACUUUGGUGGCUGGGCAUGAUAACAAUGAUUGUUGGGGAAAUUGCUAAUUUUGCUGCCUAUGCUUUUGCACCUGCUAUAUUGGUCACACCCCUUGGUGCUCUGAGUAUUAUUAUCAGUGCGGUUCUUGCACAUAUUAUUUUGAAUGAGAAGCUACACAUUUUUGGAAUUCUUGGUUGUGUUCUUUGUGUCGUGGGUUCUACAACAAUUGUUCUGCAUGCUCCUCAAGAACGUGAGAUUGAAUCUGUUAAAGAAGUUUGGGAUCUUGCUACAGAACCUGCUUUUCUGUUCUAUGCGGCUUUGGUCAUAACAGCUGUAUUUGUAAUUAUAUUCCACUAUAUUCCUGACUAUGGCCAGACGCAUAUAAUGGUCUAUAUUGGGGUGUGUUCUCUUGUUGGCUCUUUGUCGGUCAUGAGUGUUAAAGCACUUGGAAUUGCAUUGAAGUUGACAUUGUCAGGAAUGAAUCA
RNAcentral lists this unclassified non-coding RNA (682 nucleotides) under Hevea brasiliensis (rubber tree). The record is from RNAcentral. Lineage: Eukaryota; Viridiplantae; Streptophyta; Magnoliopsida; Malpighiales; Euphorbiaceae.